Molecule: ribosomal RNA, 769 nt
Filed under: uncultured bacterium
Lineage: Bacteria
Description: bacterial SSU rRNA
Rfam family: Bacterial small subunit ribosomal RNA
Source: RNAcentral
AGAGUUUGAUCAUGGCUCAGAAUGAACGCUGGCGGCGUGCCUAACACAUGCAAGUCGAACGAGAAAUCCUCUGCUUGCAGGGGAGAGUAAAGUGGCGCACGGGUGAGUAACGCGUGGGUAACCUGCCCUUGAAACUGGGAUAACUUCGCGAAAGCGAUGCUAAUACCGGAUAUUGUCUCCGGGGCUUUGGUUUUGGAGAUGAAAGGUGACCUCUUCAUGAAAGUUGCCGUUUAAGGAUGGGCUCGCGUACCAUUAGCUAGUUGGUGGGGUAAUGGCCCACCAAGGCGACGAUGGUUAGCUGGUCUGAGAGGAUGAUCAGCCACACUGGAACUGGAACACGGUCCAGACUCCUACGGGAGGCAGCAGUGAGGAAUUUUGCGCAAUGGGGGGAACCCUGACGCAGCAACGCCGCGUGAGUGAAGAAGGCUUUCGGGUCGUAAAGCUCUGUCAAAUGGGAAAAAGGCCUUUGGUUUAAUAGGCUGAAGGAUUGAUGGUACCAUUGGAGGAAGCACCGGCUAACUCCGUGCCAGCAGCCGCGGUAAUACGGAGGGUGCGAGCGUUGUUCGGAAUUAUUGGGCGUAAAGAGCGUGUAGGCGGGUUGNUAAGUCAGAUGUGAAANCCCCGGGCUCAACCCGGGAAGUGCAUUUGAAACUGCCUUUCUUGAGUAUGGGAGAGGAGAGUGGAAUUCCCAGUGUAGAGGUGAAAUUCGUAGAUNUUGGGAGGAACACCCGUGGCGAAAGNNNACUCUCUGGANCAAUACUGACGCUGA